GGGGAGUGUCUGCAAACAGUCCUGUGAUGUGAACCAUCUUCAGGUCUCGCAGCCAUGGAUACCACCACGUGCUCUGGUGGAGGUAGCAGGGGAGUGAAGUGGACUCCAUGAGGUCCUUGGUUGUAUUUUUGUUUAGUGCACUGGUUUUGUGUUGAUUGGCCUCUAGCCAGGAAGUGGUGCUUUCAAGAGCACAUCACCUUCAGUACUAUAGGGAGGAUGCAAACUUGCCC
This 230-nucleotide long non-coding RNA is filed under the name Homo sapiens (human). RNAcentral's name for it is "LHRI_LNC2083.1". The record is from RNAcentral. Lineage: Eukaryota; Metazoa; Chordata; Mammalia; Primates; Hominidae.